GCUGGCGUAGCUUAAUUAAAGCAUGAUGCUGAAGAUGUCAAGAUGGGCCUAACUAAGCCUCGCCAGCA
Molecule: transfer RNA, 68 nt
Filed under: Ophidion marginatum (striped cusk-eel)
Lineage: Eukaryota; Metazoa; Chordata; Actinopteri; Ophidiiformes; Ophidiidae
Description: tRNA-Phe
Source: RNAcentral